ACGCUAUCUACAGGCUUAACACAUGCAAGUCGAGGGGCAUCAGGAAGAAAGCUUGCUUUCUUUGCUGGCGACCGGCGCACGGGUGAGUAACACGUAUCCAACCUGCCCUUUACUCGGGGAUAGCCUUUCGAAAGAAAGAUUAAUACCCGAUGGCAUAAUGAUUCCGCAUGGUUUCAUUAUUAAAGGAUUCCGGUAAAGGAUGGGGAUGCGUUCCAUUAGGUUGUUGGUGAGGUAACGGCUCACCAAGCCUUCGAUGGAUAGGGGUUCUGAGAGGAAGGUCCCCCACAUUGGAACUGAGACACGGUCCAAACUCCUACGGGAGGCAGCAGUGAGGAAUAUUGGUCAAUGGGCGCUAGCCUGAACCAGCCAAGUAGCGUGAAGGAUGAAGGCUCUAUGGGUCGUAAACUUCUUUUAUAUAAGAAUAAAGUGCAGUAUGUAUACUGUUUUGUAUGUAUUAUAUGAAUAAGGAUCGGCUAACUCCGUGCCAGCAGCCGCGGUAAUACGGAGGAUCCGAGCGUUAUCCGGAUUUAUUGGGUUUAAAGGGAGCGUAGGUGGACUGGUAAGUCAGUUGUGAAAGUUUGCGGCUCAACCGUAAAAUUGCAGUUGAUACUGUCAGUCUUGAGUACAGUAGAGGUGGGCGGAAUUCGUGGUGUAGCGGUGAAAUGCUUAGAUAUCACGAAGAACUCCGAUUGCGAAGGCAGCUCACUGGACUGCAACUGACACUGAUGCUCGAAAGUGUGGGUAUCAAACAGGAUUAGAUACCCUGGUAGUCCACACAGUAAACGAUGAAUACUCGCUGUUUGCGAUAUACAGUAAGCGGCCAAGCGAAAGCAUUAAGUAUUCCACCUGGGGAGUACGCCGGCAACGGUGAAACUCAAAGGAAUUGACGGGGGCCCGCACAAGCGGAGGAACAUGUGGUUUAAUUCGAUGAUACGCGAGGAACCUUACCCGGGCUUAAAUUGCAGUGGAAUGAUGUGGAAACAUGUCAGUGAGCAAUCACCGCUGUGAAGGUGCUGCAUGGUUGUCGUCAGCUCGUGCCGUGAGGUGUCGGCUUAAGUGCCAUAACGAGCGCAACCCUUAUCUUUAGUUACUAACAGGUUAUGCUGAGGACUCUAGAGAGACUGCCGUCGUAAGAUGUGAGGAAGGUGGGGAUGACGUCAAAUCAGCACGGCCCUUACGUCCGGGGCUACACACGUGUUACAAUGGGGGGUACAGAAGGCAGCUAGCGGGUGACCGUAUGCUAAUCCCAAAAGCCUCUCUCAGUUCGGAUCGAAGUCUGCAACCCGACUUCGUGAAGCUGGAUUCGCUAGUAAUCGCGCAUCAGCCACGGCGCGGUGAAUACGUUCCCGGGCCUUGUACACACCGCCCGUCAAGCCAUGGGAGCCGGGGGUACCUGAAGUACGUAACCGCAAGGAUCGUCCUAGGGUAAAACUGGUGACUGGGGC
This 1445-nucleotide ribosomal RNA is filed under the name uncultured organism. RNAcentral describes it as "SSU rRNA". It matches the Rfam family "Bacterial small subunit ribosomal RNA". The record is from RNAcentral.